UACAGAGGGUGCGAGCGUUGUUCGGAAUUAUUGGGCGUAAAGGGCGCGUAGGCGGUGCGGUAAGUCACCUGUGAAAUCUCCUGGCUCAACUGGGAGCUUGCAGGCGAAACUGCCGUGCUGGAGUGUGGGAGAGGUGAGUGGAAUUCCCGGUGUAGCGGUGAAAUGCGUAGAUAUCGGAAGGAACACCAGUGGCGAAAGCGGCUUCCUGGUCCAGCACCGACGUUCAGGCACGAAAGCGUGGGGAGCAAACAGG
Molecule: ribosomal RNA, 253 nt
Filed under: uncultured bacterium
Lineage: Bacteria
Description: partial 16S ribosomal RNA
Rfam family: Bacterial small subunit ribosomal RNA
Source: RNAcentral